RNAcentral lists this transfer RNA (85 nucleotides) under Deltaproteobacteria bacterium. Its description in RNAcentral is "tRNA-Leu". It matches the Rfam family "tRNA". Rfam says of the family: Transfer RNA (tRNA) molecules are approximately 80 nucleotides in length. Lineage: Bacteria; Pseudomonadati; Myxococcota; Myxococcia. The record is from RNAcentral.
GCGAGAGUGGCGGAAUUGGCAGACGCGCUGGAUUUAGGAUCCAGUGUCUUUCGACGUGGGGGUUCGAGUCCCCCCUCUCGCACCA